RNAcentral lists this ribosomal RNA (254 nucleotides) under uncultured archaeon. RNAcentral describes it as "partial 16S ribosomal RNA". It matches the Rfam family "Archaeal small subunit ribosomal RNA", at positions 748 to 1002 of the family's 1478-position model. The record is from RNAcentral.
UGGCCGUAAACGAUGUGGACUUGGUGUUGGAAUGGCUCCGAGCUGCUCCAGUGCCGAAGGGAAGCUGUUAAGUCCACCGCCUGGGAAGUACGGUCGCAAGACUGAAACUUAAAGGAUUGGCGGGGAGCACCACAACGCGUGGAGCCUGCGGUUUAAUUGGAUUCAACGCCGGACAUCUCACCAGGGGCGGACAGCAGAAUGAUGGCCAGGUUGAUGACCUUGCUUGACAAGCUGAGAGGAGGUGCAUGGCGUGU